AGCUCCAAUAGCGUAUAUUAAAGUUGUUGCAGUUAAAAAGCUCGUAGUUGGAUUUCUGGUCGGACCGAUCGGUCCUGCACUUGAUGUAGGAACUUGAUCGCGUCUGAUCAUCCUUGGGGAGAGCCUGUGUGGCAUUAAGUUGUCGUGCUGGGGAUCCCCAUCGUUUACUGUGAAUAAAUUAGAGUGUUUCAAGCAGGCUUACGCCGUUGAAUACAUUAGCAUGGAAUAAUAAGAUAGGACCUUGGUACUAUUUUGUUGGUUUGCGCACCAAGGUAAUGAUUAAUAGGGACAGUUGGGGGUAUUCGUAUUCAAUUGUCAGAGGUGAAAUUCUUGGAUUUCUGGAAGACGAACUACUGCGAAAGCAUUUACCAAGGAUGUUUUCAUUA
RNAcentral lists this ribosomal RNA (386 nucleotides) under Paralia sp. Its description in RNAcentral is "partial small subunit ribosomal RNA". It matches the Rfam family "Eukaryotic small subunit ribosomal RNA", at positions 587 to 975 of the family's 1831-position model. The record is from RNAcentral. Lineage: Eukaryota; Bacillariophyta; Melosirophyceae; Paraliales; Paraliaceae.